RNAcentral lists this ribosomal RNA (253 nucleotides) under uncultured bacterium. RNAcentral describes it as "partial 16S ribosomal RNA". It matches the Rfam family "Bacterial small subunit ribosomal RNA", at positions 524 to 776 of the family's 1533-position model. The record is from RNAcentral.
UACGGGGGGUGCGAGCGUUAAUCGGAAUAACUGGGCGUAAAGGGCACGCAGGCGGACGUUUACGUGGGGUGUGAAAUCCCCGGGCUUAACCUGGGAAUUGCAUCUCAGACUGGGAGUCUAGAGUACUUUAGGGAGGGGUAGAAUUCCACGUGUAGUGGUGAAAUGCGUAGAGAUGUGGAGGAAUACCGAAGGCGAAGGCAGCCCCUUGGGAAUGUACUGACGCUCAUGUGCGAAAGCGUGGGGAGCAAACAGG